This 425-nucleotide ribosomal RNA is filed under the name Verrucomicrobia bacterium SCGC AAA487-O09. RNAcentral's name for it is "bacterial SSU rRNA". It matches the Rfam family "Bacterial small subunit ribosomal RNA", at positions 354 to 772 of the family's 1533-position model. The record is from RNAcentral. Lineage: Bacteria; Pseudomonadati; Verrucomicrobiota.
GUCGAGAAUUUUUCUCAAUGGGGGAAACCCUGAAGGAGCGACGCCGCGUGGAGGAUGAAGGUCUUCGGAUUGUAAACUCCUGUCAUGAGAGAGUAAGACAUUACGUUAACUGCGUGGAUGUUUGAUAGUACCUCAAGAGGAAGAGACGGCUAACUCUGUGCCAGCAGCCGCGGUAAUACAGAGGUCUCAAGCGUUGUUCGGAUUCAUUGGGCGUAAAGGGUGCGUAGGCGGCUUGGUAAGUCAGAUGUGAAAUCCUGGGGCUCAACCUCGGAACUGCAUUUGAUACUGCCAGGCUAGAGUACUGGAGAGGAGACUGGAAUUCACGGUGUAGCAGUGAAAUGCGUAGAUAUCGUGAGGAAGGCCAGUGGCGAAGGCGAGUCUCUGGACAGUAACUGACGCUGAGGCACGAAGGCUAGGGGAGCAAA